UUUCUUACCAUUCCUCAGUCC
This 21-nucleotide non-coding RNA is filed under the name Caenorhabditis elegans. The record is from RNAcentral. Lineage: Eukaryota; Metazoa; Nematoda; Chromadorea; Rhabditida; Rhabditidae.